UGCGGAAGAGAUAAGUGCUGAAAGCAUCUAAGCACGAAACUUGCCCCGAGAUGAGUUCUCCCUGACCCUUUAAGGGUCCUGAAGGAACGUUGAAGACGACGACGUUGAUAGGCCGGGUGUGUAAGCGCAGCGAUGCGUUGAGCUAACCGGUACUAAUGAACCGUGAGGCUUAACCUUACAACGCCGAAG
RNAcentral lists this ribosomal RNA (189 nucleotides) under Escherichia coli. Its description in RNAcentral is "partial 23S ribosomal RNA". It matches the Rfam family "Bacterial large subunit ribosomal RNA", at positions 2754 to 2925 of the family's 2925-position model. Lineage: Bacteria; Pseudomonadati; Pseudomonadota; Gammaproteobacteria; Enterobacterales; Enterobacteriaceae. The record is from RNAcentral.